UCCAUAAAUAUUAAAUCCAAUGGUCUUCCAUCGUUGUAGAUGUGUGGACGUGCUACCGGCAUUGAUUGUUCUCGGUUGGUCAUAGUGGUUCAGUUGCAUUGAAAACACGCAACCACUCUAUUAGUAAAGAGUUACUCCAAAAUAAAGAUGGAGUUGGACCCAAUAUCUAUUAGGUAAGGGACCCAAUGACGGCUUUGCAUCUGCUUGCGAACAGUGGAUCUGA
RNAcentral lists this long non-coding RNA (223 nucleotides) under Elaeis guineensis (African oil palm). RNAcentral's name for it is "long non-coding RNA (EGUI_LNC036028)". Lineage: Eukaryota; Viridiplantae; Streptophyta; Magnoliopsida; Arecales; Arecaceae. The record is from RNAcentral.